ACCGAAAUUGAUUUGGGGAAGAGAAAGAUACAAAUUGUUUCGCCUCUUAUCCCUCUCCAAAUCACAUCCACAUCAAAACCACCUUCACCACCGUUCUCCUCAUAUCUUUCCACAAUCUAAAACUCUCCACCACCGUGAGACAACAACUCCGGCCAAGACAACAACAAAGUCCUUCUAACCCUAACAGAAACCCCAACCUUCUCUCUAUCUCCAUAACUUCCUCUCUCUCAUUUCCAGAAAGAUUUGCUUCAACCCUGCAACAUUUUAAGACAAAGAAGCAUGGUGGUCGGAAAACUUUACCCCUCAGCGGAGUAGAUGGGAGAGCGGCGACUGUGCACUCAAACUUAAAUCUGUUUGGUUUAACGAAAAGCUCACGUGAUAGAAAUCUCAAAUAUGGCUUAUUCCAUCUACUUGGAGGCACGACGGCCGGAGGCAGACUGCGAAUGGGCUGCCGGUGGUUGGAUUGAAACAACGAUCUAAUUGUCUCAUUAGAAAGGCUGGAGGACGAGGAGUACGGAAAAAGUCAUUGAUUCUUGGUUGGAGUUCCUCAUUGUCGGAGAAGAUGGUGAAGGUCGCCGGCGGCGGCUAGGGUUUUUAGAAGAAGUGACGUCGGCUGAUGAUGGAAAGAAUGUGGUAAUGAAAGGCUUGAAACAUGGUGCUUGUGAUUAUUUGAUAAGCCGGUGUGAAUUGAGGCUAUGAAGAAUAUAUUGCAGCAUGUGGUUAGUACUACUUUCUCAUUUGUUAUGUUGUGGCACAAAGCAAGCGACACAUAGACUAAGAAUUGACGUCAUCGUAAGACAUAUUUUUUGAUUUUAUUUCAGCAGCUGGUACUCAUUUGGAUCUUUUUUUUACAAGGAUUUUUGCUAAUGUAAAACAGGAUGUAUCUUACAGACACACCAUGAUUGAGUUGGGUUCAGUUUUUAUCACACCAUAACCAAUCUUACAGCAACAUACAUUUAAGUUCUAAUAUAUCAUACAACAACACCAUGAUUGAGUUUGACCGAAGUGAAAGAAGUCCAAUAACAAGGAAUCUGGUGUGCGUUAUUUUGUUAUUGCCAACUCAAGUGGGAUUCGUUCAUGGGUUGCGACAGGAAGAAGAGGUUUGUUCCCGCAUCAAAACAUCACAAGUGUAAAACAUGCUUAUAUUGUAGUAGUAUAUGUUUUAAUGCUUCUUUUCUACGUACUAAUAAUAAAUGGUUAUGUUGUUGUAUUGCUAUUCAGGAGAAUUGUAUUUGGCUUUCUUCAAUCUGAGUGAACAAUAAAUGACGAUAGAAACAAUGACAUUAGAUUUGGAUAGGUUUUUCCCUUACAGAGGUUCCAUAUAUACAUGUCAAGGUAUUGAAGUAUGGAUUGGACCAAAAACUAUACGAAGGGUUUCCGUACAUGUCAAGGUACUGAAGUAUGGACUGGACCGAAAAUUGUACGAAGGGAAACGCAAGGGAUAAUAGCAGCAGACGUUAGAGUUAAUGGAUGUGCAAUAUUUUUACUUGCCAAUAUUUUGGCUUUCUAUUAUUCAUUUAUUAUUCAAAAGAAAAACAAAAGAUAAAUUCAUGAAUAACAUCUCAUUGUUGAGUUUUUUUUAUACACUUUUCUGAUCUGAGAUGUUAAUUUGGUGUGGUGCUGUAAGUGUUGGAUCCCACCAAAGUAUGUAAUGGAAUAGUUGUUUUAUUUUUUAUUAAUAAAAUUAUGACUUA
Long non-coding RNA from Vicia villosa (hairy vetch), 1694 nucleotides. RefSeq lists it as uncharacterized. NCBI's taxonomy places the organism in Eukaryota, Viridiplantae, Streptophyta, Magnoliopsida, Fabales, Fabaceae. The transcript is spliced from 3 exons. The record is from RefSeq and is a predicted model, not a curated record.